CGCUGGUGAAGCGGCUCGUCAGGUUUAUUAGGAAACCUGACAAUUGGAGUGAGAAUCCCAGUGUGGAAAAUCAGGAAAGAGGCUGGUAUGAGCGACAGAGAAGUCAUUCAGGAAAGAGGUUAUUGAAUUCAUUGGAGAAUGAAUGCUGUUCUGAAUUUGUAUCUUAAGGGAAAUACUACAAAAUGUUGCAGAAGGUGCUGGAUGGAUAUCUAAAGUUCAAAAAGGAAGAGAACCACACGAGCUGGAGAUUCAGGAAGCA
Molecule: long non-coding RNA, 259 nt
Filed under: Pan troglodytes (chimpanzee)
Lineage: Eukaryota; Metazoa; Chordata; Mammalia; Primates; Hominidae
Description: long non-coding RNA NONPTRT013232
Source: RNAcentral